UCUUGGUGGAGAUCCCUGUCUACCUGAGGUCUUCUAAGGGACUGGAGAAAAAAGUAUGAUUGGGCUGUGUGAACUGGGGAAUUGGUAGUGCAAGCACCAAGAAAUCUAGCUGAUUCUACUACUGCGGCACAGUUCUAAGAGACAAUUGGAAGAAGUGUUAACAAAACCAAGAUGGAUUGUAUUAAUCAGUGGCAAAGGAAGAGGAGGCAGUGAACAGCUGCGGUUCCUUGAAGAAGAAAUCUCAGCACCAAAGAGAUUGUACCUAAUACAUCUGUGGAAGUGACUGCACUUGUCUGAGGUUUACUCUGACAUAUAGAAAACGUCUAUGGUGGUGGAAAACUCCUUACUUCGUGGGUUGUUCUAUGAUGUUCUGCUGGAAAAAGUAGCUGAAGCAGGGAAGGGAGAGAACUGCUAUAAUACUGGAACAGAAUAAUUAGUCAUUUCUAAGUCUGGCACCUAAAGCAGUGAAGAAGGUUGUGUCUCCAUGUGAAAUGCAGCAGUCAGCAUUUCUUACACAGAUGAAAAAGGAAAGAUGUCAGGAAAUGAGGAUGUGCCAAACUCUGGAUCGUACACUCUGCACAUACACUAAGGGACACUUCAUGAUUUAUCAUUGACUACAGAAUAGCUUUUGAAUAGCCCUUUAUGUAUGUACAGAAGGUAUUCUGGUUUGUUUGUUUGUUUGUUUUGUGUAGGAGAGGAAGACACGAUGCUCAGAUGUUUUCUACUCUUAUGAUACAGAAAAGAAAGAAUGUGAAUAUUUUCUUUCAAAAUCCAAAUAGAGAUCCACAAAUGUCAGAAAUAUACUACAACAUGAUUUUGCAUUCUCAAUGUGUCUGUAUUUUGUUUUUAAAGAACAAAAAAAGUGUAUGUGUUUUAAGUAUAGUGACGGUGGAGGUAACUUCAUAUAUAUAUUUUCUGUUGCUUGUGAGAAUGAGAAGAUAUACACACACACAAUAGGGAUAGCAUUGAAUAAGAACUGAACAUGUCUUAAGGAACAGUAACAAAAAGAGAACAAUUUCUUUAACUUUAAAAUAGAAAUCAUUGGUAUGUUGCUUUCCUUAAAAAAGAAAACAAACAAAAAGCCAGUGAAUUGUUAAUUGCCUCAGGCAUAUAUAAGCACCCAGUCUGACAAAGACCUGUGUCUAAUUUUAUGCAUGAGAAUAGCCCAGUUGAUGUCUUUGGAGCUAAAAGUGUAUCAAGCAGUGCCUGUGGAUAUAGUACUGAAAACACUGGACACCACAUUGUUUUAAGCAAAAAAUAACAUUUUUUUUAACCACUUGAAAAAUCAGCACUCGAUGUCUUGUAUUAUUUUACACAAGAGGAAUAUAUACAUUAGUAGAACAGCUCUAUCAAAAAAUUUAUUUACUACAAGCUUACAAUUGCAUCAAACAACAUUGUAUUAAAAAAUACCAAAUCAGUAAAUAUUAGUUGUUGGUGUUGAUCUAAUAUGUUAAAACAUAACCAUUUAAGUGUUAGGUUUUAUAAAUCAUUGUUUUCUAGACAAUUCCGUAUAUGGAAGUUGAGAAUAAAUUUGCAGCUCUAUCUGUGCUUUUUCUCUGUUUAUGAGCUGAUGUC
RNAcentral lists this long non-coding RNA (1575 nucleotides) under Gallus gallus (chicken). RNAcentral's name for it is "lncRNA (ENSGALG00010008934.1)". The record is from RNAcentral. Lineage: Eukaryota; Metazoa; Chordata; Aves; Galliformes; Phasianidae.